CAGCCGCCGCGGUAAUACGUAGGGUGCGAGCGUUAAUCGGAAUUACUGGGCGUAAAGCGUGCGCAGGCGGUUCGUUAAGACAGAUGUGAAAUCCCCGGGCUUAACCUGGGAACUGCAUUUGUGACUGGCGAGCUAGAGUAUGGCAGAGGGGGGUAGAAUUCCACGUGUAGCAGUGAAAUGCGUAGAUAUACGGAGGAACACCGAUGGCGAAGGCAAUCCCCUGGGCCUGCACUGACGCUCAUGCACGAAAGCGUGGGGAGCAAACAGGAUUAGAUACCCGCGUAGUCCCUGUCUCUUAUAC
This 301-nucleotide ribosomal RNA is filed under the name uncultured bacterium. RNAcentral describes it as "partial 16S ribosomal RNA". It matches the Rfam family "Bacterial small subunit ribosomal RNA", at positions 509 to 807 of the family's 1533-position model. The record is from RNAcentral.